Long non-coding RNA from Synchiropus splendidus (mandarinfish), 1019 nucleotides. RefSeq lists it as uncharacterized. Lineage: Eukaryota; Metazoa; Chordata; Actinopteri; Syngnathiformes; Callionymidae. The transcript has 3 exons. The record is from RefSeq and is a predicted model, not a curated record.
CAUGGAAAUGCAGCUCAGCGGCAGAGAGACUGGUCUCUCCGGGACAGGAGGGCUGGAGCAGCAAACACACAGUCACAGGACAGGAAACUACAUAUUACAACAACUGCGUGAAAGCGAAGUGGAAGAAGACAGCACUUUGUCAUUCGUUCCAGUUGACGGAUCCAUUCCAGCUUUUCCCUCGGCUCCACCACAGUCACUGAAAGUGAGAAAAAUUUGGAACAACGACCCCGCUCGUAUCUCAGGCCGGGAUGAGCUCGUGCAACAGAAGAGGAAAUAACACCGGAAGUAGUCCUGGAGCGUGUUCGCCCACUGUGCUUUCUCAACGAGUGAAAAUGAAAACAAAGUUCGUUUCUUUUGCCACCGAAGAUCUCCACAGUCUCUGAGACAAAUUACAAAGGUGUGCAGCCGCUCCUCUGUGCUGCUCCUUCAUGAAACCUGUGCCCCACCCACCACCUGAAGCCAGUCCUACUUUAAGGUCUGACCGGACGUCCACGGAGCAGACUGCCUGACUCCCUUUCUGCCUGGAUUCUUCCAAGACUUGCAACAUGUAUUUUAACCCGAUAAACAAUCGUAUACAGAUGAGGCCUGCCAGCUCACAAUCACAGUUUCCAAACAGGUUUAUUCAAAUGUUUACACGAUGAAAGUGGCAAAUUACAGAGUGUUAAGAUACAGGUCACAACAUGGCCCACACCUGCGUCAGUUUGUAAUAUCAUCAUCAUCAUCAUGACUUGCUUGCGGCUAAAACGCAUUCACCACCCAUGAAAACAAUGCAGUUGAAAAACAUUUUCACUAUCAUUUUCAUUUCUGUACAUAUGUUUCUCUCAUGUGCGUUGUUAAUAUGUUGUCAAAAUGAAUGAAUAUAUAAAGGAACCUUGACCCUACUUGUUGUGUGGAUAGUGUGGUUUUACAUCAUCAGCUGAGUAGAAAAAGCAGUAAAAAAAAUAAAUAACUUGUCGUCCAAAAACAAUUUUGAAAUGUAAUCUCAAAUGAGACCCCUAAGUGCUUUGGAUUAUACAAAU